CCUACGGGAGGCAGCAGUGGGGAAUUUUGGACAAUGGGCGAAAGCCUGAUCCAGCAAUGCCGCGUGUGGGAAGAAGGCCUUCGGGUUGUAAACCACUUUUGUACGGAACGAAACGGCUCGCUUUAAUACAGUGGGCUAAUGACGGUACCGUAAGAAUAAGCACCGGCUAACUACGUGCCAGCAGCCGCGGUAAUACGUAGGGUGCGAGCGUUAAUCGGAAUUACUGGGCGUAAAGCGUGCGCAGGCGGUUAUAUAAGACAGUUGUGAAAUCCCCCGGGCUCAACCUGGGAAUUGCAUCUGUGACUGUAUAGCUAGAGUACGGUAGAGGGGGGAUGGAAUUCCGCGUGUAGCAGUGAAAUGCGUAGAUAUGCGGAGGAACACCGAUGGCGAAGGCAAUCCCCUGGACCUGUACUGACGCUCAUGCACGAAAGCGUGGGGAGCAAACAGGAUUAGAUACCCUGGUAGUCCACGCCCUAAACGAUGUCAACUGGUUGUUGGGUGCAUUAGUACUCAGUAACGAAGCUAACGCGUGAAGUUGACCGCCUGGGGAGUACGGCGCAAGGUUGAACUUCAAAUGAAUUGACGGNGNGNGAGNGCGACGGACGACGACGAGGGAGGAGG
RNAcentral lists this ribosomal RNA (621 nucleotides) under uncultured bacterium. RNAcentral's name for it is "bacterial SSU rRNA". It matches the Rfam family "Bacterial small subunit ribosomal RNA", at positions 338 to 954 of the family's 1533-position model. The record is from RNAcentral.